AAUCUUGAUGCUCUAUAUAACCAAAGCAUCCGCCUGAGAACUACGAGCACAAACGCUUAAAACUCUAAGGACUUGGCGGUGUCCCAAACCCACCUAGAGGAGCCUGUUCUAUAAUCGAUAACCCACGAUACACCCGACCACUUCUUGCCAAAACAGCCUACAUACCGCCGUCGCCAGCUCACCUCUUUUGAGAGCGCCACAGUGAGCACAAUCGCCCUAACCCCGCUAACAGGACAGGCCAAGGUAUAGCUCAUGAAGUGGAAGAAAUGGGCUACAUUUUCUAGCUUAGAAAACUCACGAAAAGGGGCAUGAAAGAGCCCCUAGAAGGCGGAUUUAGCAGUAAAGCGGGACAAUAUAAGCCCCCUUUAAGCCGGCCCUGGGGCACGUACACAC
RNAcentral lists this ribosomal RNA (393 nucleotides) under Streptopelia orientalis (eastern turtle dove). RNAcentral's name for it is "partial small subunit ribosomal RNA". It matches the Rfam family "Bacterial small subunit ribosomal RNA", at positions 805 to 1390 of the family's 1533-position model. The record is from RNAcentral. Lineage: Eukaryota; Metazoa; Chordata; Aves; Columbiformes; Columbidae.